RNAcentral lists this long non-coding RNA (166 nucleotides) under Mus spicilegus (steppe mouse). RNAcentral describes it as "lncRNA (ENSMSIG00000028246.1)". The record is from RNAcentral. Lineage: Eukaryota; Metazoa; Chordata; Mammalia; Rodentia; Muridae.
CGCCACUUCCGGGUUGGCCGUCUCCAUGUUGAGUGGGGCUGCGCGAGGGGCGGGGCCGGGCGGGGUUGGGGGUCAGCGCCUCCCUGGUUGCCUUGACGACGGGGCGCGCGGUGCGGGACGCGGAGGCUGGGAUGCGCGCGCUGGACGAUGGAGAUGGAGACGCUAA